This 509-nucleotide ribosomal RNA is filed under the name uncultured bacterium. RNAcentral's name for it is "bacterial SSU rRNA". It matches the Rfam family "Bacterial small subunit ribosomal RNA", at positions 28 to 530 of the family's 1533-position model. The record is from RNAcentral.
GACGAACGCUGGCGGCGUGCCUAACACAUGCAAGUCGAGCGGAGUCGAUCGACGGAAGCCUUCGGGCGGAAGAUGGUUGACUUAGCGGCGGAUGGGUGAGUAACGCGUGGGCAACCUGCCUCGAAGACCGGGAUAACAGACCGAAAGGGCUGCUAAUACCGGAUGUGGUCAAGGAUCCGCAUGGAUUUUUGAUUAAAGGGGAAACCCGUUUCGAGAUGGGCCCGCGUCCUAUCAGCUAGUUGGUGAGGUAAAAGCUCACCAAGGCGACGACGGGUAGCCGGCCUGAGAGGGUGACCGGCCACACUGGAACUGAGACACGGUCCAGACUCCUACGGGGGGCAGCAGUGGGGAAUCUUCCACAAUGGGCGAAAGCCUGAUGGAGCGACGCCGCGUGAGCGAAGAAGGCCUUCGGGUUGUAAAGCUCUGUCUGGAGGGACGAAGGAAGUGACGGUACCUCCGGAGGAAGCCACGGCUAACUACGUGCCAGCAGCCGCGGUAAAGUCACGUCG